Molecule: non-coding RNA, 132 nt
Organism: Sarcophilus harrisii (Tasmanian devil)
Lineage: Eukaryota; Metazoa; Chordata; Mammalia; Dasyuromorphia; Dasyuridae
Source: Ensembl
CGUCUCUGAGCCAUGGGGCUGCUGGGAUGCUUGCCCCCAGCAGCCAGGGCAAGGGACCAAGAGCAUCCCUGGAGGACUCUCGUCGGGGCCGCCCUUAGCCACAGCGGCCGCGUUUUCCUGCCUCAGACACUC